This 743-nucleotide ribosomal RNA is filed under the name Pseudomonas marginalis. RNAcentral describes it as "bacterial SSU rRNA". It matches the Rfam family "Bacterial small subunit ribosomal RNA", at positions 75 to 814 of the family's 1533-position model. The record is from RNAcentral. Lineage: Bacteria; Pseudomonadati; Pseudomonadota; Gammaproteobacteria; Pseudomonadales; Pseudomonadaceae.
GUAGCUUGCUUCUCUUGAGAGCGGCGGACGGGUGAGUAAUGCCUAGGAAUCUGCCUGGUAGUGGGGGAUAACGUUCGGAAACGGACGCUAAUACCGCAUACGUCCUACGGGAGAAAGCAGGGGACCUUCGGGCCUUGCGCUAUCAGAUGAGCCUAGGUCGGAUUAGCUAGUUGGUGGGGUAAUGGCUCACCAAGGCGACGAUCCGUAACUGGUCUGAGAGGAUGAUCAGUCACACUGGAACUGAGACACGGUCCAGACUCCUACGGGAGGCAGCAGUGGGGAAUAUUGGACAAUGGGCGAAAGCCUGAUCCAGCCAUGCCGCGUGUGUGAAGAAGGUCUUCGGAUUGUAAAGCACUUUAAGUUGGGAGGAAGGGCCAUUACCUAAUACGUGAUGGUUUUGACGUUACCGACAGAAUAAGCACCGGCUAACUCUGUGCCAGCAGCCGCGGUAAUACAGAGGGUGCAAGCGUUAAUCGGAAUUACUGGGCGUAAAGCGCGCGUAGGUGGUUUGUUAAGUUGGAUGUGAAAUCCCCGGGCUCAACCUGGGAACUGCAUUCAAAACUGACUGACUAGAGUAUGGUAGAGGGUGGUGGAAUUUCCUGUGUAGCGGUGAAAUGCGUANAUAUAGGAAGGAACACCAGUGGCGAAGGCGACCACCUGGACUGAUACUGACACUGAGGUGCGAAAGCGUGGGGAGCAAACAGGAUUANAUACCCUGGUANUCCACGCCGUAAACGAUGUCA